Molecule: ribosomal RNA, 223 nt
Filed under: uncultured bacterium
Lineage: Bacteria
Description: partial 16S ribosomal RNA
Rfam family: Bacterial small subunit ribosomal RNA
Source: RNAcentral
GACGAACGCUGGCGGCGUGCUUAACACAUGCAAGUCGAACGGUGAAGCCUUCGGGUGGAUCAGUGGCGAACGGGUGAGUAACACGUGAGCAAUCUGCCCUUGACUCUGGGAUAACUUCGGGAAACCGGAGCUAAUACCGGAUAUGACAUCUGGCCGCAUGGUCUGGGUGUGGAAAGAUUUAUCGGUCAAGGAUGAGCUCGCGGCCUAUCAGCUUGUUGGUGGG